RNAcentral lists this long non-coding RNA (971 nucleotides) under Gallus gallus (chicken). RNAcentral's name for it is "lncRNA (ENSGALG00010020026.1)". Lineage: Eukaryota; Metazoa; Chordata; Aves; Galliformes; Phasianidae. The record is from RNAcentral.
CGUUGUCACUGCUACGUGCUAUUGGUUCAGAAAAGAUGAUCCCUUGUAUCAUCCAUCUGCUGAUUCACUCUGUGCCUUGCUUUCUAAACAGGUGUUGUAUUCCUGCACAAUUCUGUCUUUUGAGUGACAAAGAUCUCAGUGAUGGCAAUUUGUCCAGAAAAUGGAAGUGUACAGUUGUUAACUGCUACGUGAAAUUCUGAGGAUAAGAACUUAAAAACUACCAUGAAAGGGUUCAGCUGAUCGCUUUCUGUGAUAACUAGUGGGUGCUAAGUAUUCCCCCGAGGCUUCUUGGGUCAGCAGCUUCUCUGGCAAGUGCAAGUUUGUGCUCAUGAUAUGAAUGCUGUGGUGUGUGAUUGCUCUUCUGUGGUAUUCAUGGAGCUGCUGCCGGAGUCACGCAGUUUGCCACUGUUACUGCUACCUCUCCGUGUAGCAGAAAGAAUACCUUACUCAAAAUGAGCUAACUGUCAUUACAUCAUUGUUUUCAUGAACCACUGAUGAGAGCAGUACAGUUUGGACCAGUAACAAAUCAGCUUUUAUCAGGAGGAUACGCUAGGUGAGCUCUCGGACAGAUCCCAUAUAAGGGAUUCUGAAAAGAUAGCAAAGAACUCAGCAGCUUCAUUCCAGCAACGUAAAUCAUCAGGAAUAUGGACUUACUGCCUUUCAAUUUGUUUCCAAUGUCAGAUGAACUGGUAGAGGAAGGGCAAGCUUGGAAGAGAUUUGUUUUCAAGUGGAAGACUCCUUGCUGACAGGCCAGAGCGAUUUUAUUCUAGGAAUUUAUUCAUUUACUUAUUUUAUGUCAGUCCAAACUAGAUUUUGUGAGUCCCAAACUAAAAUCUUCCCAGUCCACAUGUACAUACCCAUCUCCACAUUUGAAAAGGACAGUACUGUGUGCUCUGAAAAAAGCAUUUUUUAUUUCCAUGUAAUGUUACUAGUUUUUAGGCGUGAUCUUUUUUAGUGCUGAACACCACUUG